This 254-nucleotide ribosomal RNA is filed under the name uncultured bacterium. RNAcentral's name for it is "partial 16S ribosomal RNA". It matches the Rfam family "Bacterial small subunit ribosomal RNA", at positions 524 to 776 of the family's 1533-position model. The record is from RNAcentral.
UACGUAGGGUGCGAGCGUUGUCCGGAUUUACUGGGCGUAAAGAGCUCGUAGGCGGUUUGUCGCGUCGUCUGUGAAAUCCCACAGCUUAACUGUGGGCGUGCAGGCGAUACGGGCAUAACUUGAGUACUGUAGGGGAGACUGGAAUUCCUGGUGUAGCGGUGGAAUGCGCAGAUAUCAGGAGGAACACCGGUGGCGAAGGCGGGUCUCUGGGCCGAUACUGACGCUGAGGAGCGAAAGCGUGGGGAGCGAACAGG